Molecule: ribosomal RNA, 253 nt
Filed under: uncultured prokaryote
Description: partial 16S ribosomal RNA
Rfam family: Bacterial small subunit ribosomal RNA
Source: RNAcentral
UACAGAGGGUGCGAGCGUUAAUCGGAGUUACUGGGCGUAAAGCGUGCGUAGACGGCUAUCUAAGUCGGGUGUGAAAGCCCCGGGCUCAACCUGGGAAUUGCGAUGGAGACUGCAAGGCUAGAAUCUGGCAGAGGGGGGUAGAAUUCCACGUGUAGCAGUGAAAUGCGUAGAUAUGUGGAGGAACACCGAUGGCGAAGGCAGCCCCCUGGGUCAAGAUUGACGCUCAUGCACGAAAGCGUGGGGAGCAAACAGG